AUGCCAACCAGCCAGAGCUCCCAGGGACUAAACCACUACCCAAAGAGUAUACAUAGACUGACCCAUGGCUCCAGUUGCAUAUGUAGCAGAGGAUGGCCUUGUUGGGCACCAGAGGGAGAAGCCCUUGGUCCUGCCAAGGCUGGACCUCCCAGUUUAGGGGAAUGUCAGGGUCGGGAAGCAGGAAGGGGUGGGUGGUUGGGUGGAGGAAAGGGGAUAACCUUUGAAAUGUAAAUUAAAAAAAAAAAAA
Molecule: long non-coding RNA, 247 nt
Filed under: Rattus norvegicus (Norway rat)
Lineage: Eukaryota; Metazoa; Chordata; Mammalia; Rodentia; Muridae
Description: long non-coding RNA NONRATT012044
Source: RNAcentral